AAAGGUCUAUAGGAUAAUCAACAAGUGAGAACUGGCUGUGGCUCUAACAAUGGCCUGCCAGGGUGAGGACAGGGGUGUGGUCCUACCCUGGUUUCGGGUGUGAGUCGGAAUGCUCCGGGGUCCCUCUGAUUCCAUUUAUAACAUUCAUGGGCAGACUUUCCAUAGUUUGCCUUUAGGAGCCUCAAAAUCUUGUCUGCCAUUUGCAGAUGAUGUGGUCCUUUCCGCUUCUUUAGGUCGUGACCUCCAUCUCUCUGUGGAGCAGCGGCUAAGUGUAAACUUGGGAUGAGGACCCAAGACUAAGGCUACACGUCUCCGCUGGAAUGAGGUCAAAUGAGUACCUACAAGGAGAAGAGUUGAAGUCCAAUAGCCUUAAAAAGUCUACAUUGACGUGUGAGACUGAGCGACGGAUGGCAGCAGGGCGGACAUUUAACAGUCAGGGUCUACGAACAGUUGGAGGAAAGAUCUGCAUGGAGAGCUGCAGGGGAAAGAGAGAGCUGCUGGUGGGUAGGAGCGUCACUCAGGCCUGUUUCCUGCGGUGGAACUGAGUUCCUCACCAAGUUUCAGAGUCCCACAGGAAAUAUGGCUGCAGCAGGCUCUUUUCCACAGUAGGAACUGAGCUCGUGAAGGAUCUGCCAGAUCCAGGAGGAAGUUCAGCACAUGUUCUGACGUGACGCCGAGAUUCCCUUCAGCAGAAAGCGUGCCAGCAUGCGGCACUCCUCCUUAAGAUGCUGCGGACAUGUUUGAGACAUCAGCGGCCUCUGAUGGCGUUUCAAAGCUGCAGUUUGCUCAAAGUCUCACCAAUCAGCAUCAAGUUUCAGAGGGUGAAACUUGAGUUCCCCCCAGCACAUUUUCGUCAUGUCAGAGAGGGGGUUUCUGUUUGAAAGCCACGAUGCAGCCUGCAUGUUCCCUCUGCAGCUGAACGUUUGCUGGGACUUCACAGGUUCGUGUAAAAACUGAGAUGGGGGGUGGGUGGGGGGUGGGGUCUGACUGUGACAGAGACUUCCAGUGCAAUCCUCAAAAUGUCUGCUGGAAACACCCAAAUCCUUCAUCAGCAACAGGCCCAACCAGCCCCAGACAAGCGCAGAGCCUCUUCCUGCUCUGCUGCAGCCGCCUGCAGGGGAGGAGGGGUGUGAUGGGAGGAGAGAUGAUGGCAGGGGAUGAUGGGAGGAGGAGGAGGAGGGGUCUGUGUGCAGAGAUGGAGGGCUGGCAGGAAUGUGGGAGAGCAACCCGACAUGCAGCCAGGAGAGGAGCCGCUCGCACUAAAUUUAACAAAGAGAGGCAAUUUAAAUUUAGGCUGCAGGCGUAGUGAGAACGGCCCGGUCCACGAGCAAAGGCAGAACGCACACCUCACAUCCUGACGGUGCUGGGGGAGGAAGAUCAUGCGGCUGGGAUCCUGCCUGUUUGCAUUCACAACAUUCUCUCACACUCUAGGUCCUCUGAAGCUCUCAGACGCUGAAAAUCUGUGCAGAGAAGAUAUUUCUGAGCUGCAAGAAAACAUCAACAUCAUAUCAGUUUGAUUCGUAAAAAGAAGUUUUCUUUUUAUUGCCUGAUAAGAUCAAAACCCCCCUCAGCUCAGUAAACAUGGUAGAGAAUCAUCAUCGUUUGCCAAAAUAGUAUUUUUUGACUGAACUUGUUGAGCUCCGCCCACACUUCAUAUCCUAAUGAUGCGCAUUUUUCUUAGCACACCUGUUCUUGGUCGUUUUCACAAUAAAAGCCUUUGAUACCAAGUUGAUUUUGUGAGAAUUGACAAAAGAAUCAAUCAAAUGUUGCUUCAUAAACAGUUGAUUUUUUCAAUUUUUACAAUGAAUCAAUUUACAGCUCAAAAACAAAACUGGAUUUAAAUAGUGAGAGAAUCCAACAGAAUCUUUCAUCUUUGCAUUUAUCCUUUUGGGGACCUUUAAUGAAACUCUCAAAGGCUUUGAAGGGUUCCAUCAUUUUAAAGCCUCACUUCCUCUUCUGCUUUGAAGAGCAUCAGCCGCCGAUCACAGAGUUACGAUGACUCAGCUUUCUGCUUUAACUAAGUUACUGUUAAAGCUGUAGACGUCUAAAAACAACUUUAGGAAAGCUGUUGUUCACACGCAUCCACAGUUACACUGGAUGCUCAGAAGGUUCUGCUAAAGUUCUGGUUCUGUUUCAGCAUCCUCUCUGACUCCAGAGGAAAUGUGGCUGCAGAAGUUUGCUGAAUUCCUUCAGAAGGUGACCUUCUUUUCUGUGGCCUUUAGGUCCAAAGCUACAAACUCUACUGCUGUUUUUUUUUUCACUUCUGAAGAGUCAAAAAAGUUUGUUUUCACACAGCAGGGUUUAAAUCUAACAGCAUUUAUGUCACUUGGGUCAAAUGGAGCUGAGGUUUGAUUCCUUAACUUUACAAACCACCAAGAAGAAAUAAUUUGACCUCAAGGCGUUUGACUGACAGCUGUCUGUCUCUUUAGUGCAGCAGUGAACGUGAAAAGCACACAGACAGAAGUCUCUUGCAGUUCUUCUGAAAUGAUCUUUGCUUUUUCCAAAACACCACCAGGUCAUUACUGGACUCAGUAAUGUAAACCCAAAACAGAGCAGUUUCACAAUGUGAGUUAUGAGUGCAUCAGGAGGGCCUGCAGCGCCGUGAGCACGGCGAGGCCAUGCUGUGGUGAAGCUCCUGUCCGUCAAGUUGGAAGAUGUUUCUGCCGUCUGGAUCGGCUUUUAAAGUGACCUUUUAAUGGGUCAUAAAACCUCUGCUGAGUGAACAGGAGACAGUCUCAUAUCAGCUGGGCUUUCAUCGAUCAUUGAUAGGAAUCCUACUAUGAAAGGAGACCGAUUCAUGUGUGGAUCAAACCAGGAUCAAAGCCCCAUUCACACAGGCCGCUUUGGUCCACACCGGAUUUGGUUUCCUCCCAUGCUCCUCUUGCUUUGGCUGGGGCUGGGACAUGUUCAAGAACAUGCGUUCAGCUCAUGCUGUUCACACUGUACUAGUAGGGAGGGGCUUCUUCUUCUACUGUUUAUUAGCACUUUCACCCACCUACAGUUGGGAGAGGCUUGGUAAAAAUGUCAAACCACUCUGAGUUUGGUGACUCACCACAUCACUACAAAAUUUAAGUUACUUUGGCAGUGGAAGUUUAAAUGGGCACACGUUUUGUACAUAGAGCCCAGAAACGGUCGUAAAAACUUGCGUAGCCACCUGUGAGCGUGACAGUUCUGAGCGUGGAGCCCUAAAACGCACGUUAACUUUUCAACAGCCGCUUGAACGCAGCUUCUGAGCCGCCCUGAACUCUGGUCGCUCUCAGAACAACAGUCUCAGCUCACUUUCAGCUGAACGUCAUUGCGCUCCACACUUGGGGCAACUUAUUGAAGAAAAGCUUCCCAUCAUUCCUUCACAUAAUUGGGUUUGAGUGAGGAAGUACAGAUGUUUAGUAAAACUAUCUGGAAUGAGAACCCAAAGUUUUUUUCUUUUUCCUUUUUUAAGAACUGAAUUUCAUCCAGGAGGCUUGACUCUUGAAAGAGUGUGAGCAAAGAAAACACUGGGUAAGGACAGCAAAUACCUUUCAACUCUUAUUUUGAAAAUACCUUAACACUUGAUGAAAGAAGACUUUUAAAUAAAGUCUUUUUGAGGCUUUCAGGAAGAGUGAGUUUCUUUAUUUGUGCAAAUGAGAAACACAAAAUUGUUCAACUUUAAAGAUUAAAGUUGUUUUAAUUAAGAAAAAAGUUUGUUUGAAUUUUUCUCAGCCAAACUAAAGUUGUGUUGGUGGUUCUGCUUAAAGCUCCGUGUCUCCCGCUCGGAGGUGACGGACAGUUUUCGGUCUCCGUCUGUAAAGUCUCGUUCGGCCCCGUCCAUGGAAAAGUGAAGCUUCAGGAGUGACCUGACUGCCUCCCGGACACCUCCCUGGAAACAGUAGCACUCCCCAACCCCCAGGCUGACGGUUGGCAUCCUUCACACUCUCCUUGUGUCAUCACGCGAUAGCUCACCGGUCCCUCAAACCUUCCGCCUCCAGCUCUCGCGAGAGGUGCAGCAGCUCAGCCUGUAAAGUGUGGUUCGAUGGUUUCUUAUCUUUAAAGUCAACGCGGAUGAUAAAACGGCUUUGCAGCGUGUGUUUUUGGAAGUUUCAUGGCAGAGGAGAGAAGAAAAGUCCCAUUUAGAGGA
Molecule: non-coding RNA, 4114 nt
Organism: Oryzias latipes (Japanese medaka)
Lineage: Eukaryota; Metazoa; Chordata; Actinopteri; Beloniformes; Adrianichthyidae
Source: RefSeq, a predicted model, not a curated record